This 270-nucleotide ribosomal RNA is filed under the name uncultured archaeon. Its description in RNAcentral is "partial 16S ribosomal RNA". It matches the Rfam family "Archaeal small subunit ribosomal RNA", at positions 477 to 747 of the family's 1478-position model. The record is from RNAcentral.
CAGCACCUCAAGUGGUCAGGAUGAUUAUUGGGCCUAAAGCAUCCGUAGCCGGCUCUGUAAGUUUUCGGUUAAAUCUGUACGCUCAACGUACAGGCUGCCGGGAAUACUGCAGCGCUAGGGAGUGGGAGAGGUAGACGGUACUCGGUAGGAAGGGGUAAAAUCCUUUGAUCUAUUGAUGACCACCUGUGGCGAAGGCGGUCUACCAGAACACGUCCGACGGUGAGGGAUGAAAGCUGGGGGAGCAAAACGGAUUAGAUACCCGAGUAGUCC